Long non-coding RNA from Monodelphis domestica (gray short-tailed opossum), 746 nucleotides. RefSeq lists it as uncharacterized. NCBI's taxonomy places the organism in Eukaryota, Metazoa, Chordata, Mammalia, Didelphimorphia, Didelphidae. The record is from RefSeq and is a predicted model, not a curated record.
GAUGCAAAGAAGAUGAGCUCAGGAAGAACAGAUGGAAUUCUCCAGACCUAGCAAGGGAAGGGAGAAUUCCAUAGAAGGUUUAAAAGGAGGGGCAGUUAGCCAGAACUGUGGUCUGGUCUGUUUACUUCACCAUUUGACUUCUCUUUUUUUCUGGCCAACCCCUCUGAAGGAGCAAGGCUGAAGAAGUACUUGGCUUUUACCCUCCUUUACCUGGCUGAACUGAAAAGAGUCUUGCCCAGUGCAGAUUCCAGAUGGUAUAUAUCUGUUUUUCCCUCAGACAAUAUGCACCCUUGAGCAAAGCAAAUUACCUGUUGGUAUUAUUUGGGAAAGAAUUUUAAAUAUUUGGUCAAUUCCCAGAAAGAGACACUCUUUGUAAUCAUCUUUAAAAUAAUCCCAAAUGAGAUUGAGAAACUUUUCUAUAUAAAUGGAACUGCAAGUGAUUCUGGAAGGAAGCCAAAGUCAAAUCUAGGAUGUACAUUUUACAACUUGAGGGCAGUUUAUGUAAGAAGAAACCUGGAAGCCAUGUACUGGUGAUGAUUGCUGUUCAUUUCUUGCGGUUUAUGAAGCUUGCUGUUAAUUAUUUAUUUCCUAUCCAGUGAAGCCCAGUAAUGUUCAUGUAAGCUACUUUGUUCAACACUUACAUUGAGAGAGAAAUACCUCACCUGGAAAGAAUAUCUUUGCUGGCAAAGUCAAAUCAGACAUUCUCAACUUUGAAAAUGAAAUAAAACAUGAAGCAAUAGCAAUAA